Molecule: long non-coding RNA, 807 nt
Organism: Oenanthe melanoleuca
Lineage: Eukaryota; Metazoa; Chordata; Aves; Passeriformes; Muscicapidae
Exons: 3
Source: RefSeq, a predicted model, not a curated record
UUUUUGAGCACUCGUGCACAGUUUGCAGCUGAACUUGCAGACAGUCUCUGCUGCCCCUCUCUCAGCCUUGCUCAGCCCUGAUAACCAAAUCCAUCCUGCAGAGCUGAGCUCUUUUUCCACCAUCACACACUACAUUAAUUCACUCAACACAUUUGUUUGCAGCUGUCUUCCAUCACCAGCCCCACACCCAGCUGGCUCCUCAGAGCAGAGGGAGAACUUCAUUUUCCACUAAUGAAGGUAUAAAGCAGGACACAAGCCCCAGCCAGCCUGAUUGUCCUGCUGAGGUCACCACUUAACCAUUGUGACAUCACCACCUGGUGAAGCCCCAACGGAGGCAAAGUCACUCAGGAAUGAUUUUGUUCUUUCACGAGGAGGAAGGAGAGGCACAGAGCUGAGAAACCACAGCUGUGCAGAAGGCCAGAUAUGGACUCCCAGAUGGUGCAGAACUGGAUGUGCCAAACCAGGAAAUGCCCCAGAUGCUUGGCUGCACACUACCCAUUGUAUCUGCCCCACCUCAGCGUGGUGGGAUCCUUCCUUUGGCAGGGAGCCGUGCAGAGGGCCUGUGAGCCACCAGCCUUCUCCAGCCACGUGCACAGGAGACACAUCCUUGCUCUGACUCUUAGAAGAACAAAAACCAACGAGGUCAAACACUGAAGGUGCAGAAUCCACACGCAGAGCUCCUCCGGCCCCUACAGGAAUCGAAGGCAAAUUCCUACAACAGCAAAACGAACGAAUCUAAGUUGCACGGAUAGCUUGAGAGCCAGGGUUAUAAAACAAAUUCAAGCAUUAAAUAUUCUUACCAAAGGC